UCGACCCGUCCGCCAACGUGAUCCUGAAUAUGUCCUUCGAAGAGGCGAUCGACGCGGUCGGUUCGGGCGACGCCGAUCGGGUUCGCGCGAUUGAUGGGCAAUUCGCACUCCUGCACCAGCGGGGACAGAUCGUGCACAUGGCGCGCUCCAUCGGACGGCCGAUGCGGUACUUCCUCGCCAAGCAGAUCGAAGGGCCGUGUCUGAUUGUCGCCGAGCGGAUCGAGGAAAUUGCCGAUUUCCUCAAGGCCGAGGGAUUGGCGGACCAGUUCCACCCGUCUUACACGCGGAUGGUCCCGGCGCAUUACGUCGUCGAGAUCGCGCUGGUCGGAUGUCCGGACCCGAACCCGAAAUACACGCGCUACUUCACGCCGGAGCGCAAUCGGCUGCUUGCCGAAGUGGAGGAAAUCGGCGCCGCCUACAUCGGCGCGCUGCAGGCGGAAAUCGGGAAAUGGCUCGACGGCAUCGACGCGGUUGAACCACUCGGCGUGCUGUUCUCGGGCGGCAUCGACAGCGGCUCGGUGUUCCUCGUGCUUUACGACCUGCUGCUGAAGCGCGGCCAGUCUCCAGCCCGCCUCAAGGCGUUCACGCUCUCCAUCGACGGGUCGGGGCGCGACGUGGUGCAGGCGCGGCGGUUCCUUGAUGAAGUCGAUCUCGGGAUGUUCCUCGAGGUGAUUGAAGUCCCGGCCGAUGCGGUGCGGCUCGAAGACGCCGUGCGGGCCAUCGAAGACUACAAGCCGCUCGACGUGCAGUCGGCGGCGAUGGCGCUCGCGCUGUGCCGCGGCAUCCGCGAACGGUAUUCGGACUGGACGUAUCUCAUCGACGGCGACGGCGGGGACGAGAACCUCAAGGACUAUCCGAUCGACGAGAACAGUGAGCUGACGAUCCGCAGCGUGCUCAACAAUCUGAUGUUGUAUCAGGAGGGGUGGGGCGUCGACGCCAUCAAGCACUCGCUCACCUUCAGUGGCGGUCAGAGCCGUGGACACGUACGGUCCUACGCGCCGGCGCGGUUGCUGGGUUUCCGCGGGUUCAGCCCGUAUGCCUUGCCGAACGUGAUCGAAGUCGCCGAAGGCAUUCCCUUCAUCGAAUUGACCGGCUGGGACCCGGAGAAGCUCCAUGUGUUGAAGGGAGAGAUUGUGCGGCGCGGCAUUGAGGCUGUCACGGGCAUCACGAUGCCGGUGUUCCCCAAACGGCGGUUCCAGCACGGGACGAUGGCUGAGGACGCGUUUGCGG
This 1230-nucleotide unclassified non-coding RNA is filed under the name uncultured fungus. Its description in RNAcentral is "sequence contains 18S rRNA gene, ITS1, 5.8S rRNA gene, ITS2, 28S rRNA gene". Lineage: Eukaryota; Fungi. The record is from RNAcentral.